This 610-nucleotide ribosomal RNA is filed under the name uncultured Staphylococcus sp. Its description in RNAcentral is "bacterial SSU rRNA". It matches the Rfam family "Bacterial small subunit ribosomal RNA", at positions 89 to 687 of the family's 1533-position model. The record is from RNAcentral. Lineage: Bacteria; Bacillati; Bacillota; Bacilli; Caryophanales; Staphylococcaceae.
AUGUUAGCGGCGGACGGGUGAGUAACACGUGGAUAACCUACCUAUAAGACUGGGAUAACUUCGGGAAACCGGAGCUAAUACCGGAUAAUAUUUUGAACCGCAUGGUUCAAAAGUGAAAGACGGUCUUGCUGUCACUUAUAGAUGGAUCCGCGCUGCAUUAGCUAGUUGGUAAGGUAACGGCUUACCAAGGCAACGAUGCAUAGCCGACCUGAGAGGGUGAUCGGCCACACUGGAACUGAGACACGGUCCAGACUCCUACGGGAGGCAGCAGUAGGGAAUCUUCCGCAAUGGGCGAAAGCCUGACGGAGCAACGCCGCGUGAGUGAUGAAGGUCUUCGGAUCGUAAAACUCUGUUAUUAGGGAAGAACAUAUGUGUAAGUAACUGUGCACAUCUUGACGGUACCUAAUCAGAAAGCCACGGCUAACUACGUGCCAGCAGCCGCGGUAAUACGUAGGUGGCAAGCGUUAUCCGGAAUUAUUGGGCGUAAAGCGCGCGUAGGCGGUUUUUUAAGUCUGAUGUGAAAGCCCACGGCUCAACCGUGGAGGGUCAUUGGAAACUGGAAAACUUGAGUGCAGAAGAGGGAAGUGGAUUCCAUGUGUAGCGGUGAAAU